This 488-nucleotide ribosomal RNA is filed under the name Hypogeococcus pungens. RNAcentral describes it as "eukaryotic LSU rRNA". It matches the Rfam family "Eukaryotic large subunit ribosomal RNA", at positions 469 to 820 of the family's 3401-position model. The record is from RNAcentral. Lineage: Eukaryota; Metazoa; Arthropoda; Insecta; Hemiptera; Pseudococcidae.
GGUGUCGGCCUGAGGAGACGUGCGAAAGUUCGUUGACGCGUCAAACUUGUUCGGCGCGUCGGCGAGUGCGCGUUCUAUUUUCUGACUGACUCGCCAGACGGUAUGCAACGGUGGUCGCGGCGGCCUCUAGCGCCGCCGUCGAUACCUGUCUGCGACGAAUCUUCGAGUCUCUUUCCGACCCGUCUUGAAACACGGACCAAGGAGUCUAACAUGCGCGCGAGUCGCGGGGUAUCGAGCAGCCGGUGUUCGCAUCGGUUGCUCGUUAUAAUACGAAACCCGUCUCGUUUUACGAAAGGCGCAAUGAAAGUGAAUUUUGGGGAAGAUGACGUUACCGAGUUCACGUUCCAUAUUCUCGUAAUAUGGCCGGUCGUCCGCAUUCCCAGGGUGUCUCGAAGUUCGGUUCUACUGCGGACUGCCGUUCCUUCGGGGGCGGUAGUCGGGUUUAAUCGGGCUGAGGCGCACCUAUAGCGUGCAUGUUGGUACCCGAA